UAACAGCUCUGUAUCUGAAAUGUACUCAGCCUUACUCCAAACAAAAACAAAAAACAAACUAUCUGCCACACGUAUAAACGCAAUUUCAUUUCCCCCCCAGAUUUGCCGUGUUCCUGAUUCUUCAGCUUCCAGUGCACGAUGCCACUACCUGUAUCUACAACCGUUUUAGUACUUUGCUAUGAACGAGAGAAGGCGAAGGCUAUCGUGUCCUUGCGCCAAGACAUGUGAAGCUAGACUACUGCAUCUUUUCAAACUACUGCAUCACAGGGCAGCGCAACACACGCUGCGGAAAGCACCAUCGGCCGUCGGCCGUCUUACGCAUACGUGAACUCAGAGAAGCUCCUGAUUGGCCAGUGUCGCUGCGAGUGAAAAGGGAGGGAGAGUAAGCCAUCCUUCCCACCCAGAGAGCAUCGGUGGGAGAAAGUUUGCUCUCAAGGACUCUUUAAGACUCCCACCCGCGCACGGCUGCGGCACCGUCACAAACCCGAACUCGCGAUGUAAUUCCAACUAACGCUUUUGUAAUCGGAUACAUCUUCUGGUCUCGUGGCACUCACCUCAGACGCCUCAGCUAAAAUACAUCUGCAGACUCACCUGCCUGCCUCAUGCUAGCCCUGUUUUAAAGCUUUAACGGGGUUGGGAUUUCCAACGGGGGAAGGUGGAACAACACCUGGUUUACACUCAGCAUGCAAAUACCAGGUCUCUGAAUAUCCCCGUCAUUAGCCCCACACACACACACACCCCCCACAGUCAAGCACAGCUGGGCAGUAACUGAAUUCACAGCAUGGCUGUAUAUUAAUCAACCGUCAAAAUGAGUUUGAAAAUAGUGAUUUAUGAUGUUGUUACAAAUUCUGGGAUAUUUAUUACUCCAUUUAAAGACACCUGAAGAUUAUAAAACAAGUAUACAUCACAUAACGUUUUUCGUUUGCUUGUUUUUAUACUGAAACAGCCAAGGUAGCACUAUAAACAUGACUGGAAAGCUCAUAAUAUUCAUUCCUAAAUUAGGUUUUUUUUUAAAUAUUAUUCUUCAUUUGAUAUGCAAACAAAUAGGACCCAUUUUGGAGGGUUCUAAAGGCUUUCAGGUUGUAUUAACUGCACCCUUUUCUAAACAAUAUGUCCAAACUUUACUACAAAAGUAGUAGUCACAAGUGCGUUUGGAUUUUUUUUUUU
Long non-coding RNA from Ictalurus furcatus (blue catfish), 1167 nucleotides. RefSeq lists it as uncharacterized. The record is from RefSeq and is a predicted model, not a curated record. Lineage: Eukaryota; Metazoa; Chordata; Actinopteri; Siluriformes; Ictaluridae. The transcript is spliced from 2 exons.